UCUCAACUAUUUUGGAAGAGAUGCAUUUAUUAGAUAAAAAACCAAUACAUACUUUUUCAAGUAUGAAAUUUGGGUGAUUUACAAUAACUUAGCAAAUCGCAUAGUGAAAACAGGCGAUAAAUCAUUCAAGUUUCUGACCUAUCAGCUUUCGACGGUAUGGUAUUGGCUUACCGUGGCAGUGACGGUUAACGGGGGAUUAGGGUUCGAUUCCGGAGAGGGAGCCUGAGAAACGGCUACCACAUCUAAGGAAGGCAGCAGGCGCGCAAAUUACCCAAUUCUAACAGCAUAAGAGAGGUAGUGACAAGAAAUAACAAUACAAGGCAGUUAAAAUGCUUUGUAAUUGGAAUGAUAGAAAUUUAAACACUUUUUAAAGUAUCAAUUGGAGGGCAAGUCUGGUGCCAGCAGCCGCGGUAAUUCCAGCUCCAAUAGCGUAUAUUAAAAUUGUUGCAGUUAAAAAGCUCGUAGUUGAAUUUCUGUUAAAAACAACCGGUCUGCUUUUAAUAAAAGUGGUAUCUUGGUGUGUUUUUAGCAAUAAUGUCCUUUGAAAUGUUUUUUACUUUAUUGUAAUAAAUAAUAUUCAGGAUUUUUACUUUGAGAAAAUUAGAGUGUUUCUAGCAGGCUAACGCUUU
RNAcentral lists this ribosomal RNA (629 nucleotides) under Hepatozoon felis. RNAcentral's name for it is "SSU rRNA". It matches the Rfam family "Eukaryotic small subunit ribosomal RNA", at positions 181 to 797 of the family's 1831-position model. Lineage: Eukaryota; Apicomplexa; Hepatozoidae. The record is from RNAcentral.